RNAcentral lists this long non-coding RNA (1553 nucleotides) under Macaca mulatta (Rhesus monkey). Its description in RNAcentral is "lncRNA (ENSMMUG00000060643.1)". The record is from RNAcentral. Lineage: Eukaryota; Metazoa; Chordata; Mammalia; Primates; Cercopithecidae.
GGGAGGGCGUGGAGCACGGAAGUGAGAGCUACAGAGAAGUCUGCUCAAAGCCCGAGAUGCCCUUUAGCUGCCGGGGUCUUGGCUACAAAUCUUUAGGAGGAUAAAAAUAACCCACCCAAUGUUGGUUUUGUUGGGGCUUUCAUGUCACGGGCCCAUUUCCUCUGUGGGUGCAGCUCCUGGCAGUGUGCCGGGUAACGGAGGAGGUGCUGUCAGGGCAGACUCAGGGCUGCUUUCCAACCAAAGCGCCUCCUUUUUGGGAACCCUGAUUUGGACUCGGGAUCCAUAGGAGACUGGAACCUGGACCACAGGGACCCGACGCUCAGGGACCAUCUGCUACCGGCCCCAGCCCAGAUGAUACAGUUACAGCCUACCCACAGCAUCCUCCCCGCCUUCAGACAGUUCCAGGAACAGGGGUGAGUCACGCCCAGCUGAACUCCCAUCUCGCUCACCCGAGAGCUGGACCGGGCGCCAGCAGAGGGGGCCACGCACGCUCCGUGGAGCAGGUGCACUCUGCCACCUCCCAGAGAUGGGAAGGAGACCCUCACCCUCUGCCCCAGCUGUGCCCUGCACCCUCUGAGGGACCAAGGCCCGGGUCACAAAUUCAAUAGCAGAUGCUGCAGCUUCUUGUCACAGUAGCUUGUCCCAGAGCAGGCCACACAGAAGCCACCCUUCUCUGGCUGCCCCUGGAAGCACCUUGGGUCUGCCUUGGUGCAGAGAGGGUGGGUGCCCCUUGUUGGGCUGUUUGAGGCGGUGUUCUGAGUAGACAUCCAGCUUGGGCCACUGGGAAGAUGUGAUUAAACACUGACCACCCCAUUUUCUUUCUGGGUGAAAGAUCAGGGCCCAGGCAAGGCUCCUCAGCUGUGCUCACCCCCCGUCUCCCUCUGACCCCUUCUCUCCUCUUCCCAUCUCAGCACCUAGCGGCCUGCUGUGAGCAGAGGUUGUCAGGGCAGAGACCUCAGUCAGACUUUGAAUCCAGGCUCUGCCCCUCAUUGGUGGUGGAACCCAGGGCCAGACCUAUUUAAUCCUGAGCCUCCGUUUGCACAUCUGUAAAAUGGGGAUAGUCUGAGCUGCCUCCUAGGGCAUGUGAACAGGAAUGGGACGAUGCAUGGAAGGAUCCGGCAUGCUACCUGGCUGCUACUUUCUCAUCACUAGGGAUUCCAAAGGGCCUGUCCUUGGCAUAGGCUGAAACGCAGUGGGAGUGUUGAAAGCGCUGGACCUGUAACUCCAUAGAGAAGCGCUUCCCCACCUCCACACCAGCACCAGCACUGCUCUCAAUGUGCGGUGGCCUCUCCCUGCCUGAGAGCUGGUCAUUUUGGCAGCAGGGAGCCUGGUGAGGCAGUGCAUGGCCAGCAGGCAUUUGACGCCAACAGUGCAGGCUCUGCCGGCCGUGAUUCCAUCAUCCCCAGACUAGCAGAACCACUGCCUUCGCAGGAAUCUCAAAGCCCAGGGCUUUUGGGGGUGCUUCUCCACCACUCCUGACUGCUUCUUUCCCUUCAGGGGCCAUGGCUGCUGCCUGCUGCAGGGUCACUGCGUGACGCGAGCACCGCAGCAUC